RNAcentral lists this long non-coding RNA (353 nucleotides) under Elaeis guineensis (African oil palm). Its description in RNAcentral is "long non-coding RNA (EGUI_LNC080987)". The record is from RNAcentral. Lineage: Eukaryota; Viridiplantae; Streptophyta; Magnoliopsida; Arecales; Arecaceae.
GCCGUUUACCUUAAAUGUAUUGCCAUUCCGGGGGUCAUGAAUUUCAAUUACUCCAUGUGGGAAUAUUUGUGUGACAAUGAAAGGUCCAUCCCAUCGGGAUCGAAGUUUAUCGAAAAAAAGACGUAACCUGGAAUUGAAAAGCCAUACCUUUUGAUUUAGCUCAAAUGAUUUUCUAGAGAUAUAUUUAUCAUGAAAUACUUUGGUUCGAGCCUUGUAAAUUCGUGAACUCUCGUAUGCAUCGUUGCGAAGUUCUUCCAGUUCAUUGAUUUGCAACCUUCGAUUAGAACCUGCAUUCUUCAUGUUAAAAUUAAACAUUCGUAUGGCCCAGAGUGCUCGAUGUUCUAAUUCAACCG